UUUUCUAACCAGUGCCAAAGAGAACUAUACCCCCAGAAGCCAAGAGCAGGAGGUCAGAGGGAAACUGAGACGAACCCAGUGGGCCUGAGAUUGAGACCUACCCUCAUCUGGAUGGAAAGAUCGAAUGGAAAACACCCCAAGUGAAUAUUGUGUCAGAGCUGAUGAAAGCAGAGACGUUCCCAACCUUCCGAAAACACAGGAGUUGUGCUAGGAUUUCAUCAGCACAAGUGAACUAUGGGAAGAAAGGUCACCUUUGGUUUCAUUCUGACUCAAGGCAGUUCUUGGAGCAAGCUGGACAGAAAUAAGGUAAUGGCCAGAUAAAUUACAGACUGAGGUAGUAAAACCUUGAAGGCCUCGUUCCAGUCCCUAGUUUCCGAUGGAAUGAUCCCCUACCUCACGCCAUCGGUAAAAAGUGGUCUUGGAGCGAAAAGCCUGACUUUCUGUUCAGUUCCACGAGUACGGCGGGUGGAUUUUGACCUUCCUUUAAGUAUUAGGCUUCUACAUGGCAGCUGCACGCACCUGCACAAUGAAAGGAACCCAAGCCCAAUGGCCACUGUAACAGCUAAAUUACAAAAGUAAACUUCGGACUAAAAUAAUACUAAAACUUAUGGGUGUUCAUUAAUAGUUCAACCUUUGCCUGAGGAGUCAUCAGGCUUUGUCACUUGCCUGCGGUCAGUUCUGGUCUAACAUGGGUUUUCACCACGUGAUUUGGAUAGAAUGCUACUGAAGAAUCAGAGAACCAUCUUCCCACCCUUGCCAGGCUAUCCAGGUUGAACACGACCCACAGACAGGAACAGCUGAGUGCACGUGUGAGAACGACUGUGUGAUUUUCCAUCACGUGUGGUACUUCGGGAACCGAGCUACUACUGUAUUAAAGCAGAAC
This is a long non-coding RNA of Tachyglossus aculeatus (Australian echidna), 883 nucleotides long. RefSeq lists it as uncharacterized. The transcript has 3 exons. NCBI's taxonomy places the organism in Eukaryota, Metazoa, Chordata, Mammalia, Monotremata, Tachyglossidae. The record is from RefSeq and is a predicted model, not a curated record.